UCAAUCCAUUUAAGUCUUAGCUUCUCUUUCUGCAAAGGAGAAGUUUGAAUUAGUCAAUCUUCCUUCCAGAUCCAUAACUCAGUUUGAUAAAUUACUUAGUAUCUUUUUCUACAGAGAAAAUGCUCAUACAUAAUAAUAAAUAUGUAAUCAUAAAAUUAUUUUCAUUAGUCUGUUUUAUAGAAUUCAAAUUAAUCACCACUGUUUACCCUUGUGCCUCUUGGUGAUCGGUGCUGUCUGUUACAGAUCGCUACUGAAGCAAUAGAAAACUUCCGAACCGUUGUUUCUUUGACUCAGGAGCAGAAGUUUGAACAUAUGUAUGCUCAGAGUUUGCAGGUACCAUACAGAAACUCUUUGAGGAAAGCACACAUCUUUGGAAUUACGUUUUCCUUCACCCAGGCAAUGAUGUAUUUUUCCUAUGCUGGAUGUUUCCGGUUUGGAGCCUACUUGGUGGCACAUAGACUCAUGAGCUUUGAGGAUGUUCUGUUAGUAUUUUCAGCUGUUGUCUUUGGUGCCAUGGCCGUGGGGCAAGUCAGUUCAUUUGCUCCUGACUAUGCCAAAGCCAAAAUAUCAGCAGCCCACAUCAUCAUGAUCAUUGAAAAAACCCCUUUGAUUGACAGCUACAGCACAGAAGGCCUAAAGCCG
Molecule: small RNA, 642 nt
Filed under: Pongo abelii (Sumatran orangutan)
Lineage: Eukaryota; Metazoa; Chordata; Mammalia; Primates; Hominidae
Description: retained intron
Source: RNAcentral